This 253-nucleotide ribosomal RNA is filed under the name uncultured bacterium. RNAcentral's name for it is "partial 16S ribosomal RNA". It matches the Rfam family "Bacterial small subunit ribosomal RNA", at positions 524 to 776 of the family's 1533-position model. The record is from RNAcentral.
UACGGAGGGGGCAAGCGUUGUUCGGAAUUACUGGGCGUAAAGCGCACGUAGGCGGAUCGAUCAGUCAGGGGUGAAAUCCCAGAGCUCAACUCUGGAACUGCCUUUGAUACUGUCGAUCUGGAGUAUGGAAGAGGUGAGUGGAAUUCCGAGUGUAGAGGUGAAAUUCGUAGAUAUUCGGAGGAACACCAGUGGCGAAGGCGGCUCACUGGUCCGGUACUGACGCUGAGGUGCGAAAGCGUGGGGAGCAAACAGG